GGGAAGGUGGCUCAGUGGUAGAGUGCUUGCCUUGCAUGCAUGAGGCCCUGGGUUUGAUUCCUCUGCCCC
Molecule: transfer RNA, 69 nt
Filed under: Dipodomys ordii (Ord's kangaroo rat)
Lineage: Eukaryota; Metazoa; Chordata; Mammalia; Rodentia; Heteromyidae
Rfam family: tRNA
About the family: Transfer RNA (tRNA) molecules are approximately 80 nucleotides in length. Their secondary structure includes four short double-helical elements and three loops (D, anti-codon, and T loops). Further hydrogen bonds mediate the characteristic L-shaped molecular structure. tRNAs have two regions of fundamental functional importance: the anti-codon, which is responsible for specific mRNA codon recognition, and the 3' end, to which the tRNAs corresponding amino acid is attached (by aminoacyl-tRNA synthetases). tRNAs cope with the degeneracy of the genetic code in two manners: having more than one tRNA (with a specific anti-codon) for a particular amino acid; and 'wobble' base-pairing, i.e. permitting non-standard base-pairing at the 3rd anti-codon position.
Source: Rfam by way of RNAcentral